GGAGUUUUCAAAACAAGAAAUGCCUUGUCAUCCAGAUUUUACUGGCCAGGAAUGAUGGUUGAUAUUUUGAAAUGGGUAGCUGAGUGUGACAGAUGUCAAAAGAUUGGUAAACCACUUGUGGUCGAUUCAACACUGCAGAGUAUUCAGGUUUCAACAGUAUGGGAAUUGGUGGGGAUUGGUUUAACUGGGACUUUGCCGCAGACUGCUGAUGGAUACCAGUAUAUAUUAACCGCUACAGACUACUUCACAAAAUGGGUCAAAGCUUUUCCACUAAAAACAAAGACUGUGAAGGAAGUUGCAAAGUGUCUGUGCACUGUAGUAUAUCGACAUGGCUGUCCUCUCCAAAUCCUCUCAGAUCAAGGAAGAGAGUUUGUUAAUGAAGUGAGUAUUUAAACUAUAGAUUUUGUUUUGCAGUUUAAAUAUGGUUAGUGAUAUUUUGAUUAUGUAAUGUAUUUACUAAAGAAGCAGGUCAUGGUUAGCUGUCCUAUUAUUGUUGCAUGUUUGAGUGCCUAGUGGCAUAUUGUAGUACAGUACAAGCUCGCUAUAGCGCCCUCUUGUGUUGUGAACCUCCGGCUAUAACGAACAUGGUCCAUGGAUCCCAAUUACAAUACUGUAUAAUAAUGCUGCAUUUAAAAAAAAAGGAUGUUGCAAAUGCGCUUUUAAAUUUUUCACUCGACUGGUUUUGAAAGUUCCAUGUUUUUGGACUGGGUUCUACUAUUAAUAAACGCAGAAUACUGGA
Molecule: long non-coding RNA, 739 nt
Organism: Acipenser ruthenus (sterlet)
Lineage: Eukaryota; Metazoa; Chordata; Actinopteri; Acipenseriformes; Acipenseridae
Exons: 3
Source: RefSeq, a predicted model, not a curated record